This 253-nucleotide ribosomal RNA is filed under the name uncultured bacterium. Its description in RNAcentral is "partial 16S ribosomal RNA". It matches the Rfam family "Bacterial small subunit ribosomal RNA", at positions 524 to 776 of the family's 1533-position model. The record is from RNAcentral.
UACAGAGGUCUCAACCGUUGUUCGGAUUCAUUGGGCGUAAAGGGUGCGUAGGCGGUCGCGCACGUCGGAUGUGAAAUCUUAGGGCUCAACCCUGAAACUGCAUUCGAUACUGCGUGGCUCGAGUACUGGAGAGGAGACUGGAAUUUACGGUGUAGCAGUGAAAUGCGUAGAUAUCGUAAGGAAGACCAGUGGCGAAGGCGAGUCUCUGGACAGUUCCUGACGCUGAGGCACGAAGGCCAGGGGAGCAAACGGG